RNAcentral lists this ribosomal RNA (768 nucleotides) under Triticum aestivum (bread wheat). RNAcentral describes it as "partial small subunit ribosomal RNA". Lineage: Eukaryota; Viridiplantae; Streptophyta; Magnoliopsida; Poales; Poaceae. The record is from RNAcentral.
AUGUUGAGAGCUUGUGCGCUAGAUUAUGAAUUUGGUUGGGAUGAUAAUUUGCCAUACGCAGAAUUCUCAUAUAACAACAGCUAUCAAGCCAGUCUAAAGAUGGCCCCUUUUGAAGCUUUGUACGGAAGGAGGUGCAGGACACCAUUGAUGUGGGAUGAAGUUGGAGACCGUAAAUUAUUUGGACCAGAUUUAAUUAGAGAUUCAGAGGAGAAAGUCAAGCUGAUCCGCGACAGACUCAAGGUAGCCCAAUCCAGACAGAAGAGUUAUGCCGAUACUAAACGCAAGGAGGUAACCUAUGAAGUCGGAGAUAGAGCAUAUCUGCGUGUGUCGCCAAUUCGAGGAGUUAAACGAUUCGGAGUCAAAGGAAAGUUAGCACCACGGUUUGUGGGACCGUACAGAGUUUUAGAACGCAUGGGUGAAGUUGCCUACAAGUUGGAAUUACCAGAAGCCUUGUCAGGAGUUCAUGAUGUGUUUCACGUUUCCCAGUUGAAGAAGUGUCAUGCGGAGAUGGCCGAUAUUCCUUUGAGAGAUACAGUGCCACUGGAGGCCAUACAGUUGGAUAGUGAUCUGACCUAUGAGGAGAAGCCCAUCAAGAUUCUAGAGACUGCAAGCAGGGUUACCCGCAGCAAGGUCAUCAAGUUUUGCAAGGUUCGGUGGAGUCAUCAUACUAAGGAAGAAGCCACCUGGGAACGAGAAGAAGACCUCCGACAGGACCACCCACACCUUUUUGCUAGCCAACCCGAAUCUCGAGGGCGAGAUUCAUCUUAA